RNAcentral lists this transfer RNA (71 nucleotides) under Marmota monax (woodchuck). It matches the Rfam family "tRNA". From Rfam's summary of the family: Transfer RNA (tRNA) molecules are approximately 80 nucleotides in length. Their secondary structure includes four short double-helical elements and three loops (D, anti-codon, and T loops). Further hydrogen bonds mediate the characteristic L-shaped molecular structure. tRNAs have two regions of fundamental functional importance: the anti-codon, which is responsible for specific mRNA codon recognition, and the 3' end, to which the tRNAs corresponding amino acid is attached (by aminoacyl-tRNA synthetases). tRNAs cope with the degeneracy of the genetic code in two manners: having more than one tRNA (with a specific anti-codon) for a particular amino acid; and 'wobble' base-pairing, i.e. permitting non-standard base-pairing at the 3rd anti-codon position. The record is from Rfam by way of RNAcentral. Lineage: Eukaryota; Metazoa; Chordata; Mammalia; Rodentia; Sciuridae.
GGUGUUGUAGCUCAGUGGUAGAGCGCUCGCCUAGCACGUGUGAGGCCCUGGGUUCGAUCUCAGCAUCACGU